RNAcentral lists this ribosomal RNA (322 nucleotides) under uncultured eukaryote. Its description in RNAcentral is "partial 18S ribosomal RNA". It matches the Rfam family "Eukaryotic small subunit ribosomal RNA", at positions 1470 to 1796 of the family's 1831-position model. The record is from RNAcentral.
CCCUUAGAUGUUCUGGGCCGCACGCGUGCUACACUGAGUAAUUCAAUGGGUAAGGGAACGCUAGAGCAUUACCUAAUCUUGAAAUUUGCUCGUGAUGAGGAUCGACGGUUGCAAUUUUCCGUCGUGAACGAGGAAUACCUUGUAGGCGCAUGUCAUCAUCAUGCGCCGAAUACGUCCCUGCCCUUUGUACACACCGCCCGUCGCUCCUACCGAUUGAGUGAUCCGGUGAGGCUCUGGGACCUGGACGGAAAGAGCGUUUCGCUUGUUCUGUUUGGGAAACUUGGUCGAACCUUAUCAUUUAGAGGAAGGAGAAGUCGUAACA